RNAcentral lists this ribosomal RNA (479 nucleotides) under uncultured Alteromonadales bacterium. RNAcentral's name for it is "bacterial SSU rRNA". It matches the Rfam family "Bacterial small subunit ribosomal RNA", at positions 30 to 505 of the family's 1533-position model. Lineage: Bacteria; Pseudomonadati; Pseudomonadota; Gammaproteobacteria; Alteromonadales. The record is from RNAcentral.
AUUGAACGCUGGCGGCAGGCCUAACACAUGCAAGUCGAGCGAGAAAGCACUUCGGUGUGAGUACAGCGGCGGACGGGUGAGUAACGCGUAGGAAUCUACCCGGUAGUGGGGGACAACUUGGGGAAACCCAAGCUAAUACCGCAUACGCCCUAAGGGGGAAAGCGGGGGAUCUUCGGACCUCGCGCUAUCGGAUGAGCCUGCGUAGGAUUAGCUAGUUGGUGGGGUAAAGGCUCACCAAGGCGACGAUCCUUAGCUGGUCUGAGAGGAUGAUCAGCCACACUGGGACUGAGACACGGCCCAGACUCCUACGGGAGGCAGCAGUGGGGAAUAUUGCGCAAUGGGCGAAAGCCUGACGCAGCCAUGCCGCGUGUGUGAAGAAGGCCCUAGGGUUGUAAAGCACUUUCAAUUGGGAAGAAAAGCUGUUGCUUAAUAAGUAACAGCCCUGACAUUACCUUUAGAAGAAGCACCGGCUAACUCCG